GCAGGACUAAACAUCAGUUAGAGUAUCACAUUAUAUAACACACGUGAUUUCUCAAAUAGGCUGAUGUUUCUGACCCAAACAAGAAAAAUUUUGAUCUGGAAAAUGAGAAUAAUUUGUUUUUUAAGGAUCCAGACUCUCAGUGACAGAAGUGAUACCACAUGGUCUGAAAUAUAGAAACUACCUUUUGGUGGGUUUUCAUUCAUUUAAUAAUUCCUUAAAUUUAUGAAAUACAUUAAACAUAAAGAGAUGCACAGAGACCAAUUAUAAAUAACACACAUGUACCCAAGCCAAGAUUAAAUAAAUCAUCAGAGUGGAAGAUAAACCAGUUUCAGAGUUUAUGUAAUAACUGACAGAAAAACACACAGUUUUCCAUUUUUCCUAGAUCUCAUACUGUGACUUACAGAUUCAUGAUCUUCUUACAAGUUCUUACAAAAAAGCUCAAGUUCCUAGAUAACACUGUAGUAUCUGAUGAUGUGAAGGAGAAGUAAGGAUAAUAGAGUCUAGUACUAGACAAAAAUAUCAUACAGAUAAAAAUGAUCAUAUUGGAUCAAGCAACUAAAGAUAAACUAAAUAAUGAAAUUUAAAAGGUACAGCUCAAAAUAAGUUCAAUUUUGAUUAAAUGUUCAUUUGAAACACACUCUUAAAAAGGCAGCAUCUGUACCUGGCAUUU
RNAcentral lists this long non-coding RNA (670 nucleotides) under Bos taurus (domestic cattle). RNAcentral's name for it is "long non-coding RNA NONBTAT013507". The record is from RNAcentral. Lineage: Eukaryota; Metazoa; Chordata; Mammalia; Artiodactyla; Bovidae.